Molecule: ribosomal RNA, 398 nt
Filed under: uncultured bacterium
Lineage: Bacteria
Description: bacterial SSU rRNA
Rfam family: Bacterial small subunit ribosomal RNA
Source: RNAcentral
AUUGAACGCUGGCGGCAUGCCUUACACAUGCAAGUCGAACGGCAGCGCGGACUUCGGUCUGGCGGCGAGUGGCGAACGGGUGAGUAAUGUAUCGGAACGUACCAUUCAGUGGGGGAUAACGCAGCGAAAGUUGCGCUAAUACCGCAUAUUCUGUGCGCAGGAAAGCAGGGGAUCGCAAGACCUUGCGCUGAUUGAGCGGCCGAUAUCAGAUUAGCUAGUUGGUGAGGUAAAGGCUCACCAAGGCGACGAUCUGUAGCGGGUCUGAGAGGAUGAUCCGCCACACUGGAACUGAGACACGGUCCAGACUCCUACGGGAGGCAGCAGUGGGGAAUUUUGGACAAUGGGCGCAAGCCUGAUCCAGCCAUGCCGCGUGAGUGAAGAAGGCCUCGGUGUAAGAC